This 684-nucleotide ribosomal RNA is filed under the name uncultured Tomentella. RNAcentral's name for it is "eukaryotic LSU rRNA". The stretch from base 248 to 402 matches the Rfam family "5.8S ribosomal RNA". Lineage: Eukaryota; Fungi; Basidiomycota; Agaricomycetes; Thelephorales; Thelephoraceae. The record is from RNAcentral.
AAGUCGUAACAAGGUUUCCGUAGGUGAACCUGCGGAAGGAUCAUUACCGAACCGUCGACACGAGUUGUUGCUGGUCCUCAAAUGGGGGCAUGUGCACACUCUGUUUACUCAUCCACUCACACCUGUGCACCCACUGUAGUUCUGUGGCUUGGGGGGCUCUGUCCUCUUUGCUGUGGUUCUAUGUCUUUACACACACACUGUAAUAAAGUUUCAUGGAAUGCAUGACGCGUCUAACGCAAUACGAUACAACUUUCAGCAACGGAUCUCUUGGCUCUCGCAUCGAUGAAGAACGCAGCGAAAUGCGAUAAGUAAUGUGAAUUGCAGAAUUCAGUGAAUCAUCGAAUCUUUGAACGCACCUUGCGCCCUCUGGCUAUUCCAGAGGGCAUGCCUGUUUGAGUAUCAUGAACACCUCAACUCUCAUGGUUUUGCCGUGAUGAGCUUGGACUUUGGGGGUCUUGCUGGCCUGUGGUCAGUUCCUCUCAAACGAAUCAGCUUGCCAGUGUCUGGUGGCAUCACAGGUGUGAUAACUAUCUACGCUUGUGGUUUUCCACCAGGUAACCUUCAGUGAUGGAGGUUCGCUGGAGCUCAUAAAUGUCCCUCCUCAGCGAGGACAGCUUCUUGAAUGUUUGAUCUCAAAUCAGGUAGGGCUACCCGCUGAACUUAAGCAUAUCAAUAAGCGGAGGA